GAUAUACCACUGAAAGGUUCUUUUUUUUAGUAACUAGCAACUCUGCAAAUCUAUCAAAUCUGUAACAAUGUAUGAUAUAUUGAAAUUGCGGUGUGUAGGUUUGGUUGGAGGUUGGCGCUGGGAUCUUAUUUUCCUACAGUGUGUCUGUUGGAACUCUCAAUGUUUUGGCAAGCUACAAUAAAUAACAACAACUGCUACAGGUCCAGGACUAGUGCUCAUAGCUUAUCCCCAGGCAGUAGCCAUGAUGUCUCUCCCUCAGUUGUGGGCUGUUUGUUUCUUCAUCAUAAUUAUUUUGCUGGGGCCAGAUACAGUUUGUUGCAGUGGAAGCCGUCACGACAUCAGUGAUGGAUCUGUUCCCAGUGAUUCUGCACAGGGCAGGACGGGGAGAAACAUUCCUCCUGCUCUUCUGUUUCACUUGCUUCUUGGGCCAAUUCACCAUAGUUACAGAGGUCAAAGGAGAGUGUUUUGUGUUAUGAGAGUAAAAUGAACAAAAAUUAACUGAGC
This is a long non-coding RNA of Carassius gibelio (silver crucian carp), 504 nucleotides long. RefSeq lists it as uncharacterized. The record is from RefSeq and is a predicted model, not a curated record. Lineage: Eukaryota; Metazoa; Chordata; Actinopteri; Cypriniformes; Cyprinidae. The transcript has 3 exons.